UAGUCCACGCCGUAAACGAUGUCGACUAGCCGUUGGGGACCUUAGAGUCUUUAGUGGCGCAGCUAACGCACUAAGUCGACCGCCUGGGGAGUACGGCCGCAAGGUUAAAACUCAAAUGAAUUGACGGGGGCCCGCACAAGCGGUGGAGCAUGUGGUUUAAUCCGAAGCAACGCGAAGAACCUUACCAAGUCUUGACAUCCUGCGAACUUUCCAGAAAUGGAUUGGUGCCUUCGGGAACGCAGUGACAGGUGCUGCAUGGCUGUCGUCAGCUCGUGUCGUGAGAUGUUUGGGUUAAGUCCCGUAACGAGCGCAACCCUUGUCCCUAUUUGCCAGCACUUCGGGUGGGAACUCUAGGGAGACUGCCGGUGACAAACCGGAGGAAGGUGGGGACGACGCCAAGUCAUCAUGGCCCUUACGACUUGGGCUACACACGUGCUACAAUGGUGCGUACAGAGGGUUGCAAACCCGCGAGGGGGAGCCGAAUCUCACAAAACGCAUCGUAGUCCGGAUCGGAGUCUGCAACUCGA
RNAcentral lists this ribosomal RNA (527 nucleotides) under uncultured bacterium. RNAcentral describes it as "bacterial SSU rRNA". It matches the Rfam family "Bacterial small subunit ribosomal RNA", at positions 791 to 1315 of the family's 1533-position model. The record is from RNAcentral.